GGUGGCCUCUCUUUGAAGCUGCCGUUGAAGGAUGGUCCCGCGUCCCAUUAGCUUGUUGGUGGGGUAAUGGCCUACCAAGGCGACGAUGGGUAGCCGGCCUGAGAGGGUGUCCGGCCACACUGGGACUGAGAUACGGCCCAGCCUCCUACGGGAGGCAGCAGUCGAGAAGCUUCCGCAAUGGGCGAAAGCCUGACGGAGCGACGCCGCGUGAGUGAAGAAGGCCCUAUGGGUUGUAAAACUCUGUCAGAUUGGGAAGAAAAUUCUGCGGUUAACACCCGUGGAACUUGACGGUACCAUCAGAGGAAGCACCGGCUAACUCCAUGCCAGCAGCCGCGGUAAUACGGAGGGUGCAAGCGUUGUUCGGAUUCACUGGGUAUAAAGGGUGCGCAGGCGGCCCGAUAAGUCAGAGGUGAAAUAUGACGGCUCAACCGUCAAACUGCCUCUGAAACUGUCAGGCUUGAGUUCGAGAGAGGUAGGUGGAAUUCCAGGUGUAGCGGUGAAAAGCGUAAAUACCUGGAGGAACACCGGUGGCGAAGGCGGCCUACUGCUCGAUACUGACGCUCAGGCACGAAAGCAUGGGGAGCGAACGGGAUUAGAUACCCCGGUAGUCCAUGCCGUAAACGAUGGGUACUAGGUGUUGGGGGAGUCUACCCCCUCAGUGCCGCAGCUAAUGCAUUAAGUACCCCACCUGGGGAGUACGAUCGCAAGGUUGAAACUCAAAGGAAUUGACGGGGGCCCGCACAAGCGGUGGAGCAUGUGGUUUAAUUCGAUGCGACGCGAAGAGCCUUACCUAGGCUUGACAUGCAGGGGACAGGUGUAGAAAUACAUCCUUCUUCGGACUCCUGUACAGGUGCUGCAUGGCUGUCGUCAGCUCGUGUCGUGAAAUGUUGGGUUAAGUCCCGCAACGAGCGCAACCCUUGUCUUUAGUUGCCAUCAGGUAAUGCUGGGGACUCUAGAGAGACUGCCGGUGACAUACCGGAGGAAGGUGGGGAUGACGUCAAGUCAGCAUGGCCCUUACGCCUAGGGCUACACACGUGCUACAAUGGUCGGUACAGUGGGCAGCAAUACAGCGAUGUGGAGCGAAUCCCAAAAAGCCGGCCUCAGUUCGGAUUGAAGUCUGCAACUCGACUUCAUGAAGUUGGAAUCGCUAGUAAUCGCGUAUCAGAACGACGCAGUGAAUACGUUCCCGGGCCUUGUACACACCGCCCGUCAAGUCAACCGAGUUGGUUGCACCCCAAGUCGCUGAGCUAACCCGAAAGGGAGGCAGGUGCCCAAGGUGUGAUUAGCGAGGGGGACUAAGUCGUAACAAGGUA
Molecule: ribosomal RNA, 1313 nt
Filed under: metagenome
Description: bacterial SSU rRNA
Rfam family: Bacterial small subunit ribosomal RNA
Source: RNAcentral